UACGUAGGUGACAAGCGUUGUCCGGAUUUACUGGGCGUAAAGAGCGCGCAGGCGGUCGAUCAAGUCGAGUGUGAAAGCCCCCGGCUCAACUGGGGAGGGCCAUUCGAUACUGAUCGACUCGAAGGCAGGAGAGGGUAGUGGAAUUCCCGGUGUAGUGGUGAAAUGCGUAGAUAUCGGGAGGAACACCAGUGGCGAAGGCGACUACCUGGCCUGUUCUUGACGCUGAGGCGCGAAAGCUAGGGGAGCAAACGGG
RNAcentral lists this ribosomal RNA (253 nucleotides) under uncultured bacterium. RNAcentral's name for it is "partial 16S ribosomal RNA". It matches the Rfam family "Bacterial small subunit ribosomal RNA", at positions 524 to 776 of the family's 1533-position model. The record is from RNAcentral.